Molecule: small nucleolar RNA, 107 nt
Organism: Salvia splendens (bonfire salvia)
Lineage: Eukaryota; Viridiplantae; Streptophyta; Magnoliopsida; Lamiales; Lamiaceae
Source: RefSeq, a predicted model, not a curated record
AAACCAUGGUUGGGGCAUUUGUGAAGGAGGCCCUUGAAGCGUGCAACGGCCUCAUAGAGUGGUUCAUCAUGGCCUUGUAUAAAUUGAAAGAUCUCACUCUUGAGCUU